ACAAGCGGUGGAUGAUGUGGUUUAAUUCGAUGCAACGCGAAAACCUUACCCACCUUUGACAUGUACGGAAUCCUUUAGAGAUAGAGGAGUGCUCGAAAGAGAGCCGUAACACAGGUGCUGCAUGGCUGUCGUCAGCUCGUGUCGUGAGAUGUUGGGUUAAGUCCCGCAACGAGCGCAACCCUUGUCAUUAGUUGCUACAUUCAGUUGGGCACUCUAAUGAGACUGCCGGUGACAAACCGGAGGAAGGUGGGGAUGACGUCAAGUCCUCAUGGCCUUUAUGACCAGGGCUACACACGUACUACAAUGGCCGGUACAAAGGGCAGCGACACAGCGAUGUGAAGCCAAUCCCGAAAAGCCGGUCUCAGUCCGGAUUGGAGUCUGCAACUCGACUCCAUGAAGUUGGAAUCGCUAGUAAUCGCGGAUCAGCACGCCGCGGUGAAUACGUUCCCGGGCCUU
RNAcentral lists this ribosomal RNA (456 nucleotides) under uncultured Rhodoferax sp. RNAcentral describes it as "bacterial SSU rRNA". It matches the Rfam family "Bacterial small subunit ribosomal RNA", at positions 925 to 1382 of the family's 1533-position model. The record is from RNAcentral. Lineage: Bacteria; Pseudomonadati; Pseudomonadota; Betaproteobacteria; Burkholderiales; Comamonadaceae.